GGUCCUUGGGGGACGAUAUUCAUAUCGUGCAGUCGAGCGAACUGAUUAGAAGCUUGCUUCUAUGACGUUAGCGGCGGACGGGUGAGUAACACGUGGGCAACCUGCCUGUAAGACUGGGAUAACUUCGGGAAACCGAAGCUAAUACCGGAUAGGAUCUUCUCCUUCAUGGGAGAUGAUUGAAAGAUGGUUUCGGCUAUCACUUACAGAUGGGCCCGCGGUGCAUUAGCUAGUUGGUGAGGUAACGGCUCACCAAGGCAACGAUGCAUAGCCGACCUGAGAGGGUGAUCGGCCACACUGGGACUGAGACACGGCCCAGACUAAUACGGGAGGCAGCAGUAGGGAAUCUUCCGCAAUGGACGAAAGUCUGACGGAGCAACGCCGCGUGAGUGAUGAAGGCUUUCGGGUCGUAAAACUCUGUUGUUAGGGAAGAACAAGUACGAGAGUAACUGCUCGUACCUUGACGGUACCUAACCAGAAAGCCACGGCUAACUACGUGCCAGCAGCCGCGGUAAUACGUAGGUGGCAAGCGUUAUCCGGAAUUAUUGGGCGUAAAGCGCGCGCAGGCGGUUUCUUAAGUCUGAUGUGAAAGCCCACGGCUCAACCGUGGAGGGUCAUUGGAAACUGGGGAACUUGAGUGCAGAAGAGAAAAGCGGAAUUCCACGUGUAGCGGUGAAAUGCGUAGAGAUGUGGAGGAACACCAGUGGCGAAGGCGGCUUUUUGGUCUGUAACUGACGCUGAGGCGCGAAAGCGUGGGGAGCAAACAGGAUUAGAUACCCUGGUAGUCCACGCCGUAAACGAUGAGUGCUAAGUGUUAGAGGGUUUCCGCCCUUUAGUGCUGCAGCUAACGCAUUAAGCACUCCGCCUGGGGAGUACGGUCGCAAGACUGAAACUCAAAGGAAUUGACGGGGGCCCGCACAAGCGGUGGAGCAUGUGGUUUAAUUCGAAGCAACGCGAAGAACCUUACCAGGUCUUGACAUCCUCUGACAACUCUAGAGAUAGAGCGUUCCCCUUCGGGGGACAAAGUGACAGGUGGUGCAUGGUUGUCGUCAGCUCGUGUCGGGAGAUGUUGGGUUAAGUCCCGCAACGAGCGCAACCUUUGAUCUUAGUUGCCAGCAUUUAAGUUGGGCACUCUAAAGGUGACUGGCGGGGGAACAAACCGGAAGGAAGGGGGGGAAUGACGUUCAAAUCCUUCUGGCCCCUUAUGAACCGGGGGUUAACCCCGGGGCUUAAAUGGGAAUGGCUCAAAAGGGUUUG
This 1254-nucleotide ribosomal RNA is filed under the name Priestia megaterium. RNAcentral describes it as "bacterial SSU rRNA". It matches the Rfam family "Bacterial small subunit ribosomal RNA", at positions 31 to 1251 of the family's 1533-position model. The record is from RNAcentral. Lineage: Bacteria; Bacillati; Bacillota; Bacilli; Caryophanales; Bacillaceae.